This 260-nucleotide ribosomal RNA is filed under the name uncultured bacterium. Its description in RNAcentral is "partial 16S ribosomal RNA". It matches the Rfam family "Bacterial small subunit ribosomal RNA", at positions 94 to 354 of the family's 1533-position model. The record is from RNAcentral.
AGCGGCGGACGGGUGAGUAACGCGUGGGGAACCUGCCCUAUACAGGGGGAUAACAGUUAGAAAUGACUGCUAAUACCGCAUAAGCGCACGGAGCCGCAUGGCCCUGAGUGAAAAACGAUAGUGGUAUAGGAGGGACCCGCGUCUGAUUAGGUAGUUGGUGGGGUAACGGCCCACCAAGCCGACGAUCAGUAGCCGACCUGAGAGGGUGACCGGCCACAUUGGGACUGAGACACGGCCCAAACUCCUACGGGAGGCAGCAG